RNAcentral lists this ribosomal RNA (568 nucleotides) under Bigelowiella longifila. RNAcentral's name for it is "partial Bacterial large subunit ribosomal RNA". It matches the Rfam family "Bacterial large subunit ribosomal RNA", at positions 1 to 588 of the family's 2925-position model. The record is from RNAcentral. Lineage: Eukaryota; Cercozoa; Chlorarachniophyceae.
AAGUAGAAAAGAGCGUAUGGGGGAUGCCUAGGCUCUCAGAGGCGAUGAAGGACGUGAUAAGCUGCGAUAAGCUGCGGGGAUUGGCACAUACGAUGUGAUCCGCAGAUUUCCGAAUGGGACAACCCACUAUGUUGAAGACAUAGUAUCCAGCAAUGGAGGCGAACGUAGGGAACUGAAACAUCUAAGUACCUAUAGGAAGAGAAAACAAUUAGUGAUUCCGUUAGUAGUGGCGAGCGAACGCGGAACAGCCCAAACCAGAGUAGUUACGGCUACUUUGGGGUUGUAGGACUGCGAUAUCUUAACAAAAAUGAAUUGGAAGCAUCUGGGAAGUUGCGCCAUAGAGGGUGAAAGCCCCGUACAGGUAAGUUUUUGAGCGGUAGCAGUAUCCUGAGUAGGGCGGGGCAGGUGAAACCCCGUUUGAAUCUGCCGGCACCAUCCGGCAAGGCUAAAUACUCCUGAGAGACCGAUAGUGAACCAGUACCGUGAGGGAAAGGUGAAAAGCACCCCGACGAGGGGAGUGAAACAGUACCUGAAACCGAACGCCUACAAUCAGUCGGAGCUUGACUGG